UCUCCGUUGGUGAACCAGCGGAGGGAUCAUUACCGAGUUUACAACUCCCAAACCCAAUGUGAACCAUACCAAACUGUUGCCUCGGCGGGGUCACGCCCGGGGUGCGUCGCAGCCCCGGAACCAGGCGCCCGCCGGAGGGACCAACCAAACUCUUUCUGUAGUCCCCUCGCGGACGUUAUUUUUACAGCUCUGAGCAAAAAUUCAAAAUGAAUCAAAACUUUCAACAACGGAUCUCUUGGUUCUG
RNAcentral lists this unclassified non-coding RNA (244 nucleotides) under plant metagenome. RNAcentral's name for it is "partial contains small subunit ribosomal RNA, internal transcribed spacer 1, and 5.8S ribosomal RNA". The record is from RNAcentral.